AAACUGCGAUACGUAGUGUGAAUUGCAGUCCGUGAAUCAUCGAAUUUUUGAACGCAAAUUGCGCUGUCGGGAAUUCCCGGCAGCAUGCUUGGCUGAGUAUCAUCUGGACAAAUCGACUCGAGCAUAUUUGUUUCGAGGCGGAAUUGAGGCUUGUCGCACGCCAUUCUCUUUUAAGCCUUUUAAAAGAGAGUAGCGUGGGUCCCUUGAAAUCUCGUUCGGUGAGAAGGCACAAUCCAAAUCGUCCCUUGUCUCCGCCAGUGUGUCAAUAAGCUUUCUUGAGCUUUUCUCUACACUGUUUUUGCAGGAAGGCAACUGGGUUACGAGUGCUUUAUUUCUCUACCUUGAUGUGAUCAUAUAUGAAUAAACCUGUUUUUUGAUCUCAGCUCAAGCAAGACUACCCGCUGAAUUUAA
This 411-nucleotide unclassified non-coding RNA is filed under the name uncultured Diversispora. RNAcentral describes it as "sequence contains ITS1". The stretch from base 1 to 102 matches the Rfam family "5.8S ribosomal RNA", at positions 50 to 154 of the family's 154-position model. Lineage: Eukaryota; Fungi; Glomeromycota; Glomeromycetes; Diversisporales; Diversisporaceae. The record is from RNAcentral.